RNAcentral lists this ribosomal RNA (336 nucleotides) under uncultured bacterium. Its description in RNAcentral is "bacterial SSU rRNA". It matches the Rfam family "Bacterial small subunit ribosomal RNA", at positions 8 to 353 of the family's 1533-position model. The record is from RNAcentral.
AGAGUUUGAUCCUGGCUCAGGAUGAACGCUGGCGGCGUGCCUAACACAUGCAAGUCGAGCGAUCUUCUUCGGAAGAGAGCGGCGGACGGGUGAGUAACGCGUGGGUAACCUGCCCUGUACACACGGAUAACAUACCGAAAGGUAUGCUAAUACGAGAUAAUAUGCUUUUAUCGCAUGGUAGAAGUAUCAAAGCUCCGGCGGUACAGGAUGGACCCGCGUCUGAUUAGCUAGUUGGUAAGGUAACGGCUUACCAAGGCGACGAUCAGUAGCCGACCUGAGAGGGUGAUCGGCCACAUUGGAACUGAGACACGGUCCAAACUCCUACGGGAGGCAGCA